UACGGAGGAUGCAAGCGUUAUCCGGAAUCAUUGGGUUUAAAGGGUCCGUAGGCGGGUAAAUAAGUCAGUGGUGAAAGUCUGUCGCUUAACGAUAGAAUUGCCAUUGAUACUGUUUAUCUAGAGUUAUUAUGAAGUGGUUAGAAUGGGUAGUGUAGCGGUGAAAUGCAUAGAUAUUACUCAGAAUACCGAUUGCGAAGGCAGAUCACUAAUAAUAUACUGACGCUGAUGGACGAAAGCGUAGGUAGCGAACAGG
Molecule: ribosomal RNA, 253 nt
Filed under: uncultured bacterium
Lineage: Bacteria
Description: partial 16S ribosomal RNA
Rfam family: Bacterial small subunit ribosomal RNA
Source: RNAcentral